Non-coding RNA from Arachis ipaensis, 1235 nucleotides. The record is from RefSeq and is a predicted model, not a curated record. NCBI's taxonomy places the organism in Eukaryota, Viridiplantae, Streptophyta, Magnoliopsida, Fabales, Fabaceae.
UAAGAGAGAGAGAGGGACGCCGUUGACGCUAUCAGGGAGGAAGGAAGAACUGCACGAGAGCCAGGGGAGGGGGAGCCUCUGCUGCGUCGCCGCCGUGCCUCCAUCACCGCCGAACCGCUUUGCUAAUGCUAACUCUUUCGCAUCUAGUCGGCGUCGAGGGAACCGUCACCGUCGCGGCCAUGGGCAUGGGUUUCAAAGGGAAGAGAACACGAUGAGGAGAGGAGGAGCUGUGUCCCGCUUCUGCCGCUGUCAUCGUGCUCAACCUCCGCGCCAGGUCAUCGUCGUCGUCGUUGUGGUCAGAAGCUGCCACUGUCGCUGUUUGGGUCCGCCGUGGGGAGGAGCAGCGCUGACGUCGCUGUAAACCAGCUGUUGGAGCCUCUGCUAGCUUGCCCUGUGCUGCUGUAUCGUCACCGGAGUUGCCGUUGCUUCAUCCUUUGAAUUCCUUAUGGUACAGUGAGUUUUCUUGUCCCGAAACCUUUACCGUUAUUAUUCUGAUAUAAGUUACUGUGGUCUUUGCGACAUUGAUGCAUUGAGGUCGAGUUCCGGUUAUUGCAUAUCGCGUUUAGAGUUGUCGAUGUUGCUGCGAAAGUGGAAUGGAGUUAUGGUUGUGGCUGCCACUGUUGCGGGCCAGGAUAAAGAGAGUUUUGUCCCGUAGUUAAGUCGCGAUCGAGGUAAGGACGGUGGUUAAUCCCGCUUGCCCGAGAUUUACUGCAAUGGCAAGGAUGGUGGUUAAUCCCGCUUUCGCAUUGACGGAAUUUUUUUCAGACAAGGAUAGUGGUUAAUCCCGCAUGUUUGAGUUAUCCGGUAAUGACGGUUGGUUAAUCCUGCUUACUCGUGGACUAAUGUUCCGAGUAAGGACGGUUGGUGAAUCUCGCUUGUGGAGCCUAUGGAUAACGACGGUUGGUGAAUCCCACUUACCCGAGUCGGGUCUGACAACAUAACCGACGCGUGAGCUCAUGGCCAGUAGGAUCAUACUGCAUUUGUUUGCUAUUGUUUGUGGUGUGCUUAAGUGCUUCGGUUUGCCUAUUUGAUGAAUUCUGUCUAACUGUUAAUUGUGAUACCUGUCGUAAUUGCUUUCUAAUUGUUUUCCUUGCAUUGUUUGUGCUUGUGAUUGAUUAUGUUCUAAGACUGACUGUUGGUUGAGAAAGUUUGGGCCGGAGGCUGUGGAUUGAUUAUAUAUUGGGUCAGUGAUUGUGGUUUGAUUAUAUAUUGGGCUAGAGGCCGAGAUUUGAUUA